RNAcentral lists this ribosomal RNA (195 nucleotides) under uncultured Gracilibacillus sp. RNAcentral's name for it is "partial 16S ribosomal RNA". It matches the Rfam family "Bacterial small subunit ribosomal RNA", at positions 338 to 524 of the family's 1533-position model. The record is from RNAcentral. Lineage: Bacteria; Bacillati; Bacillota; Bacilli; Caryophanales; Bacillaceae.
CCUACGGGAGGCAGCAGUAGGGAAUCUUCCGCAAUGGACGAAAGUCUGACGGAGCAACGCCGCGUGAACGAAGAAGGUUUUCGGAUCGUAAAGUUCUGUUGUUAGGGAAGAACAAGUACCGUUCAAAUAGGGCGGUACCUUGACGGUACCUAUCGAGGAAGCCCCGGCUAACUACGUGCCAGCAGCCGCGGUAAU